Molecule: ribosomal RNA, 1146 nt
Filed under: uncultured bacterium
Lineage: Bacteria
Description: bacterial SSU rRNA
Rfam family: Bacterial small subunit ribosomal RNA
Source: RNAcentral
UGGCUCAGGAUGAACGCUGGCGGCGUGCUUAACACAUGCAAGUCGAACGGAGUUUUAGUAAUUGAUUGAAUUAUCUUGCUAUUGAGAGAUUUUACUAAAACUUAGUGGCGGACGGGUGAGUAACGCGUGGGUAACCUGCCCUAUACAGGGGGACAACAGUUGGAAACGACUGCUAAUACCGCAUAAGCGCACAGCAUCGCAUGAUGCAGUGUGAAAAACUGAGGUGGUAUAGGAUGGACCCGCGUCUGAUUAGCUAGUUGGUGAGGUAACGGCCCACCAAGGCGACGAUCAGUAGCCGGCCUGAGAGGGUGAACGGCCACAUUGGGACUGAGACACGGCCCAAACUCCUACGGGAGGCAGCAGUGGGGAAUAUUGCACAAUGGGGGAAACCCUGAUGCAGCGACGCCGCGUGAGUGAAGAAGUAUUUCGGUAUGUAAAGCUCUAUCAGCAGGGAAGAAAAUGACGGUACCUGACUAAGAAGCCCCGGCUAACUACGUGCCAGCAGCCGCGGUAAUACGUAGGGGGCAAGCGUUAUCCGGAUUUACUGGGUGUAAAGGGAGCGUAGACGGUCAAGUAAGUCUGAAGUGAAAGCCCGGGGCUCAACCCCGGGACUGCUUUCAAAACUGUAUCCCUUGAGUGUCGGAGAGGUAAGUGGAAUUCCUAGUGUAGCGGUGAAAUGCGUAGAUAUUAGGAGGAACACCAGUGGCGAAGGCGGCUUGCUGGACGAUAACUGACGCUGAGGCGCGAAAGCGUGGGGAGCAAACAGGAUUAGAUACCCUGGUAGUCCACGCUGUAAACGAUGAAUACUAGGUGUGGGAGGACUGACCCCUUCCGUGCCGCAGUUAACACAAUAAGUAUUCCACCUGGGGAGUACGACCGCAAGGUUGAAACUCAAAGGAAUUGACGGGGGCCCGCACAAGCAGUGGAUUAUGUGGUUUAAUUCGACGCAACGCGAAGAACCUUACCAGGACUUGACAUCCAACUAACGAAGUAGAGAUACAUUCGGUGCCCUUCGGGGAAAGUUGAGACAGGUGGUGCAUGGUUGUCGUCAGCUCGUGUCGUGAGAUGUUGGGUUAACUCCCGCAACGAGCGCAACCCCUGCCAUUAGUUGCUACGCAAGAGCACUCUACUGGGACCGCUACCGAC